UAACAACAUGCUUUAAUGACAAAAAAAUAGCUAUUAUUUUACAAGACAGACAGUAUAAAACAUAUGUACAAAUAAAAAAGCCUCCAGAUAGUCGAGAGACAGAUUUAUAUAUAUGUACCUCUCCUACAAGUCAAGUUGCUGUGUGACUGGCUGAAAUGGAUUGAACACUUAGAGAAUAUAUGGUAGAAUAUUAUAGAUACUUCCUAUAUCCUACACAACCAUUACCUACAGUAUUUAAAAAUCAACAGUCAUUUUAUUCUGUCAGGCAUGGCAGAAGAGGUCUACAGAUAAGAUGACAUGAUAUAUAUUUAGUAUGUACAGUUCUGUUCUCCAAAGCCAAGGGUCCAAGCACUAUUUGCAAUGGGAAGUGGAAUAGUAUUUCGUAUUUAGCAUACUUCCAUAUCUCUAUUGAAUUAGAAUUGUGAUUUUGAGAUUACGACCUUUCCCCUGUAACUGUGUGUGUGUGUGUGUGUGAGUGUGUGUCCCUGGGAUAACCUUCAGGUGGAGCGAUGGAGUUCAGCACCCAUUUCGAGGUUUCUCCAGUAAUACUUAGAAAAUAUGAAAGGUUCCAAACUUAACGAGGCUAUAUCGUCAGGAUGAAGCGAAGCUUUAACAUUGUAGACUUGACCAACAAAAUACUUUACUACAAUGGAACAAACAAAUAGAGAGACAAACGGAGAAGCCACAAUGUGUGUGUUUCUCAUAAUGGUCUUGAGUCGCUGAAAUGGCUGUUAUUUGAGGUUGCGCAGUGACUCCCUGGUAAGGUCCAGUUUGGGACCUCAGAGAGCGGUCCGUAUAGAAAUGAAAAGAAUAAAGAAUAGCUAAGGAAAUCUAUGGUGGUCCCAUGGUGGGAAUUUGAAUGCUGUAGUACAGCGAGACUUAUUUUAUAUCUAAACUCUUCUUAGGAGUGGGGGAGGCUAAGUACAGCAGCUCAGACCUGGUAGAGUGAGAUUGUCUUCCGGGCACCGUCUCGUUUUAAAAAUAAAUUACAUCACAUUAAAUUUGAACAUAAUAUUGGAGAUUAGAAACCGAGGAAUGAGUGCUGGUCAGACUGUAAAGUAUCCCUCCUCCCACUCCUGAGGUUUGAAUCCUACUCUUACACGGCAUUUAUCUGUGUCACACAUUCAUGAAAUGUAGUCCUACAGUAGAACCUAUGCACAAAACCAAAACAAUUAAUUAGUCCUUUAAUUAGUCCUUUAAUUAGUCCUUCAUUUACGUUUCAAAAUAUACAUGAUCUGAGGUACUACAAGAUCAAAAUCACCUGAGGUAAGUCUCUCUGUAUUCACCUACAUCGGUUCUUGAGGACAGGAGACAGUUGCUUUCACUCACUCCCAUGGCUAGCAUCUAUUGCACCCAUUUGUCUCCAUACAGGUGUGAGUGAAUGUUUGGCAAGACCAGGCAUGCAUACUGUAGAUUAAACAUGCUAAACUCACGAGAAAAUAAAACAGUUUUGCUUGAGAGAGAGAGAGAACUGAUCCAUCUCUUCAAAGUAAUCAUCAGUCUUACAGAAAGAGAUACAGUAAUGGUUCUCUUUCAAUUCUUUUUUUCGAUAUCUCAAAUGUGGGGUUUCACUAGGACCACCUUCUCUCUUGGAAGUACCUAUCCAAAGCUUUUGUUGGAGACAGAUAGGUAGAGUGGUGAAUGAGGUGAGAUCCUAACUUCCAUAAAAUUCCUUUUCUACUUCUCAGUCUCUGUUGGUACUGUAGCUAGCGUCACUGCUAGCUAUUGAGACUUGGUUAGUCCAUGCUGCAAGGCUAACUUGGCUAGCUUGCUGAGAGGCAAGGUAGCAACACGGUAGCAUUACUAGCUCCCUUAUCUCGUCUAGUUUAACCUACAUUCACCCAUUCUGUUAACUAGACCAACCCUCACAGCCUUCUCGUCAGUUGCGGGAGCACUCUUUCUGAAGGCUAACUCAGUCACAUGGUUUCCUUUAGCCAGCACUGAGCUAGCCACGGCACAUCUUCACCACAAGGUAGAUGCUAGCCAGCUAACAAGCCACUAGCCUUGCUGCUAUAGCGUUAUACAGUGGUCAAUAUUGUUAGCUGUUAGCCGCAAAGCUCCUAACUAGCUAACUUGGUAUGCCGUUGACACAUGUUGACAUAAGCUACUAUUCGCUAGAUACCAGCCACAGGGCUUCUAACUAGCUAGCCUAUGCCAUCUACACGUUGGUCUUUCAACAGGCAUUGCUUGGUCCCACUAGCAAGCCUUGUCCCUCGCAAUGGCCACUGCUAUCCCUUCCCAGAACGAGGUCUAGCACUCGAACCCCCAAGUUCUUGCGGCUCCAUGAUUGUGGGGAAAGAGAACCACCCUCUAUGCAUCAAUUGCUUGGGACCCUGAAUCAUAUGACCACUGCAGACUGCUGACGAGAGCAGGUCUGAAGAGGAGGCUUAAACAUGCUUCUAUUUCAUCAUCCCGUCUUUCCUCCGAGCCAACAGUGACAGCCGAGGCUCAGCACUCCGCAACUGAGCCAAGUUGGAGCGAGGUCAUGGAUAGCCUCGACUCCCUCCCCUCACAGUCGGACGACACAGUGUCAGGGGAAGGCGAGUUAGGUGAUGACGAGGAUGACAAUGGGAUUCAUCGCACAGAAAUCCUUGAGAUAGCGCAGAAGAUGGGGACUGCUGGUGAAACUUAGCUUGUCAUUUUUAAUUAUUUCGUUUUAAGCCUUUCCCAAACCAUAGCCCUAACCUUAUCCACUCUGAAUGAAUCCCUAAACUAUUAACCUUCGAUUUUAGUUAUUUCUGGUAGAAGCAACGACCAGAUAGAGCCCGGGGAGACCCCAUCCCAAAACACGGUGACCAUGCCGUUUGGGGUGGAAUAGGUGACACAUCCAGGAGAAGAGGGUGAUGCCGUAUGCUUUCCCUCCUCAUCGUCGAGCCCUUGGUGACCAGUGAUUUCCCCAUUGGCAGUUACAACCCUGCUCACCCAGAUGCUUUAGCCUUCGGGGCGUAGCCGGUGAAAAAAAAGAAAAAUGGAGAUGAUACAGGCCACUUAUGCACGCUCUCUGUUUUUACCGUUGGUGCAUUGAUGUCGUGGAGAAGUGGUGUGACUAUACAGAUUUUUCAUCUCUAGACUCUGCUUUCCAGGGUCCUGUGCUCCUUGUAGGAGAAGGUUCAUCUUUGUUAGGGUCCUUUUGCCGCUUUCUCGGCCUGCCAAGGUCCCGGUAGUCUCUAUGGCAGGCACGUCGCUUAUGUCCAUUCGCCAAGCUUUUAGCUGUCUGUGUCUAUUGUGCUUAAAAUCCUUUCACAGCAGCUAUUAGCCAAUUAAAAGCAUUCUGGCAUAAUAUUCCUCCUUUCACUUUACUACUGUCCUUGGUGUCCCUAAGCGUAUGUGUGAACUGUGCUCUACGAGCCGCUGUUCGCGCCCACAGUCUGUCCAGGUGGUUUUCAGGUUAAUGUACUUAACCCUAUCUUUGGGCGGGGUCAACUUUUUUCCAUUGUCGCACCUUGGAGCCUGUGGCUUUUUGCCUGUCUCCUUCCCUAGAAGGGCAUCCCUGUCGUUUCCCCUAUGUUCCCCCGACAUUCCCCCGUCGUUUCCCAGUCGUUUCCCAGUAAGUGUGGUUCUGUAGGAGAGCUCAGGCAAGGCUGUCAUGCUCUUCGCUCAUUUCAACGAUAUCCUGCCAGAUCAUGGGAACCAUUCUUUUGGCUGAUGGCCUUCGGAGGGCCCUCUCCUACAGAGGAGUUUACCUCUCGGGCACUGUUUGGGGCAUAUCUCAUUAGCUUGAGAUUAUAUGCGUCUUGCUUCUCCUCACUUUGUUAUGAGAUUUUUCCCCUUGGGUUGUCUGUGCACCUUUUUGGUGGAUACUCCCUUGGUUUCAGGACCUCUGAGGGUUGCUGAUGUUGGGACUUCCCUGGCUUCGGAGAGCAUGUUUUGCGAUAUGGGAGUUGGCAAUAUCCCCACAUGUGAGAUAUUGAAAUGAAUAAUUGAAAGAGAACUUACUUGCGUAACACCAGUUCUCUGAAAUUAUGAGUAAUACAUCUCACCACAUUCCUUUUGCUCGCAAGAGAGUGAGGAAGAGAAGCAUGCUUGAGAAUAACCAGAGGGCGGGACUAGCUCCUUUUAUGGAAUUGAGGGUCUCAAUUUAUUCGCCACUCAUAAUAAGUAACCUUAAGUUAUUAAUUGUUGCUGUCAUUGCUAUUGAAACCUAAGGAGGGUAGUCAGAAAAGAGUUGAACUCUUUAAACCUAAUGUUAAAGGGGAGUUGAACUUCAGCUUCAGUUUCAAUUCUUCUCAUUAGGAAAUACAACUAAGAAUGAGAUUUGGAUCUUGGAGGCCAUGCUUUGAUGUGGGUGUCUCUUGUGUGUGUGUGUUCGAACGUGGUAAGCGUUUGUACUUUCAUUGUGCCAAAAAAAGUACACAGUUACAGUCAUUCACCCUUCUAGAUCAGGCUGGUCACUAGAAAUAGACAGGGAUUUCAGAUGUUUGAAAAGUUCCUGAGAAUAUAUGCCUUCCUCAGCACUCACAAAAAGAAAGAAAAACUAUUUCCCAGCACUGGGUGGAAAAUCAUCUUUUUUUAUUUAACGAGGCAAGUCAGUUAUUUUUAUUUACAAUGACAGCCUACAGUGGGUUAACUGCCUUGUUCAGGGGGAAAACGACAGAUUUGAACCUUGCCAGCUCAGGGAUUCAAAUCCAGCAACCUUUCGUUUACUGGCCCAACACUCUAACCACUAGGCUACCUGCUGCCUCAUGAGGUUUGCAGCUGGAGCGCGCUGCUUAGACCACUGCGCUAUUGACAGUUCUCAACACUAUAGCAAGCCAUGAGAAUACUAUGAAUACUGAUGAUACCUAGUGUGUUGCUUUAAAACAUUUUUUUUUAAGCCUUCCCCAUACCGUAGCCAAACCUUAACCACUCUGAAGUAAUGCCUAAACUGUUAACCUUUGAAUUAAUGAUGUUUUAACCCUGUAACCACGCGGAACGAAUGCAUUAAAAAAAGACGUUCAUCCAUAAUACGUUGGACGGGACACGAUGAGAUAUUGUUGUUCUAGAUAACUUAAAACAGUCUAACCAGGUUUUGUGUCUGGAAGCAGCCUAGACUCGCUAGCAAGCUAGCCAACUUCUUUCAACAAUUAGCUUCAGCCGGCCGUUGUGCGACCUGUGGCAAAGUUGGUUUGACUUUGGAUCAUGGCUGGCAUGCUCAUUAGGCAGGAUUAGGUGGCCGCCUACGGUGGCAGAUUAAUGAGGGUGUCAUUUUCUGAGCUAAACUGACCAAGACCCACCUCCAACGACAACACAUAAAUCCUCACAUAAUUCUGACCCAAAACAAUUACAAUAUGUCUCAAGCAGUGGCAUAAGGGCUUUUAAGGUGAGCGUUGAUGCUGCCCUGUGAUAAAGCAGAGCCCACUUUGUCAAAGGCAGGGGCGCCAAAUAUUUUGCUUGUCCAUUCCCAGCUUGCCUCUCCGGGGUGCUGUUGGAGUGACGCAUUGCUGCAGCGCUCCACCAACGUUCCGUCAAAACAAUUAUCUAACAUAAAUCAUGUAGCUGAUAUAGGAUAUGGUAGAAAGAAUACGUGUCCUUUUCUGUAGCCUACAGGCUGGAGAUAAAAUGUAUGACAAUGUAAUGAGACAGACACUUUUUACAUCAUGCAGGAUUCUCCGAUCAAAUAGAAACUGGCUACUCUUUAGUUGAAUGAUCUAGCUGGCAAGGUAACUGCUGUUUGACAGAAAAAAAUAGUACUUAUUCCCAGUGCUGAGCUAGAAGUGUAACUGUCAUGUGACGUUCGCUACUGUUUCAUCCCCUCUCGAGGUAUAUACACUGCUCAAAAAAAUAAAGGGAACACUAAAAUAACACAUCCUAGAUCUGAAUGAAUGAAAUAAUCUUAUUAAAUACUUUUUUCUUUACAUAGUUGAAUGUGCUGACAACAAAAUCACACAAAAAUAAUCAAUGGAAAUCCAAUUUAUCAACCCAUGGAGGUCUGGAUUUGGAGUCACACUCAAAAUUAAAGUGGAAAAGCAUACUAUAGGCUGAUCCAACUUUGAUGUAAUGUCCUUAAAACAAGUCAAAAUGAGGCUCAGUAGUGUGUGUGGCCUCCACGUGCCUGUAUGACCUCCCUACAACGCCUGGGCAUGCUCCUGAUGAGGUGGCGGAUGGUCUCCUGAGGGAUCUCCUCCCAGACCUGGACUAAAGCAUCCGCCAACUCCUGGACAGUCUGUGGUGCAACGUGGCAUUGGUGGAUGGAGUGAGACAUGAUGUCCCAGAUGUGCUCAAUUGGAUUCAGGUCUGGGGAACGGGCGGGCCAGUC
Molecule: long non-coding RNA, 6235 nt
Filed under: Salmo salar (Atlantic salmon)
Lineage: Eukaryota; Metazoa; Chordata; Actinopteri; Salmoniformes; Salmonidae
Description: lncRNA (ENSSSAG00000083414.1)
Source: RNAcentral